AUGAAAAUGAAUCUAGCUUUUUGUAAGUCAUGGCAGCAAUAUAACAUAUCAUUGUUUGGUUCUCUGCUAGACAGUCCCUGCUGUUUUUACAUAGAAAUUCCUGUAAUACUUAAUGGACAUCUGGAAGAAUUCAGCCAAUUAAUCGAAUUCACACAGGAGCUAGGCUAAUGGCUGUCUGAAAGGCAGAUUACAUUAAAUCAAACUUGCAAUAUGAAUGAAAGUACUUAAUCAUACAUGCAACAUUCAUUAGAUGCGGCACAGCAAGUGUUUUGAUUACUUUAAUGAAAGAUCAGGUAAAGUGCAUCAACUGAACAGAUUGAAGAGACAGCAUGCUUACAAAUGUUUGAUUAUGUUGACUAUCAACAGAAACAGUGCCAGUAAUUUAUAGCAAAAACAUAUUUGGAGGAGGAGGAGUAUGGAGCCGGUGAACUUGGGAGGGGAGCUGAAAUUUCGGCCUCGCCUUCAAACACCUUAAUUAAUAGGCAGGAUAGCGAGACUUUAAUCAAAUGUCACAGAAGCAGCAAAACAGACGCAUUUGGAGAAUCCCGUAUGGUGACUGCUGGUCUUCACCGGUGUUUGCCAUCCUCACACUCGAUGCUGGUUUUGAAUCCCCCGUGUUUUGUCUGACCUGGGAGUAAACACGGCAAAUUCCUAACUGCACAAAUAUCUUCAAAGAAGGGCACGGUUCGAGAAAGGCAGUGAGUUCUGAUUUGUGCUGCUCCCCGCUGCUGGAGGCAGCCCCAGUCUCCAUGCCAGCAGCCCUGGCCCACUGCACCCUAAAACGCCAUCACGUUCUUCCUUCUCUGAGUUCUUCAGCUGGAAACUCCUUUUGUCCUCAUUCCCAGGGGGUUCCCACCCUAUUCACCACUGCUAUGAGCACAGCCUCCCCCCAGCGACCCACUGUAACCCAGCUGCAGCCUCACCAGUCUGAAGAUAGGAGCUCGCCAGCUUCCAGGGCCCGAAAGUGUUUCUUCUCCAGGGUCCUUCAUUCCUUGCCUGCACUCUUCUGCUUUGUAAACAAGUGCUUGGCUGUGUGCAGAGGUGGGUAGCUCACCUGGGGGCUGCAUUUCUCCCUCUAUGUUUUACUAUCUUACCUGGAGCAGAUUCUAUAGUUUUUGGAAGCACACACACAGUCUUUGGAGGAGGAGUUGGGUCUUGGAACCCAAGCAUCCUAUGGUUAUGGACCAUGACAUCUUUCCUGGACAGUGGUACCAGCUUGCUGGGAGGGAUGCUGAAGACUUCCCUGCACUGCAACAAAAUAUUUUGUGGCUGCGGUUCUCCUGGCUCUGCCCUCUGUGCUCCGGAAUCCUCUUCCCUCUAGGGAAAUGAAUAGAGAAACUGUGGGUUUCUACCUCCUGCCUGAACUCUAUUGGAGGCAGGUGUGGAGUUACGCAGCGCGGUGAGCUCUGUCUCUCUCACCCUGCUUUUCUGUUAUCUCUCAGGCUGUGCUCCUCACAGGCAGAGCUGCCCACCUGUCUGUGCAUACGUCCAUGCAGCACGCAGCUGGGAAGCGAUCUCACUGAGAGCUGCUGUUGCUAUUCAUAUAAUUAAUAACUGUGACCUUUCCAUAAAAAUGAGUAUCUUUUUCAGUGAAUUACGACAUAUAAUGAUGUUUGUAGGAAACAGACUGCUGGGUAUCUCAUGCCGAAGAACGCCCGAGCUUCCUAUUUAUGACUUUGUGAGAUCAAUAAAUAACUCCAUUACAAGCAAAAUUGUAAUGGCAAAUGGCUUCAGCCUGUGGGACACCAGCUGAAACCCAUAAUGAAAUCACAUCAGCCCUGAUGGUCCCGUGGAGGCCUUUGGAGGACUGGUGGGAGUUUGGGCAUGUCAGCAGCUCCCUGGAGAGGACCCAGCGGCCCUGAAGCAGCCCUGGUGGGUUGGAGGUGGGGAGAGGCCGCUCUGAGGGUACACUGAGGGUCCCCGAGCCCUCUGGCACAGGGGCAGGGCUGGGAGCCACAGCACCGUAGCCGUGUCUUCAUCUGCUUGAUACAGCAAUGUGGCCACAUCGACAGCUCUACAACCAGGGCAACAAUGGCCUGAGUCCAUUUACAAAAUAGAAGAGAGGGUGAAUGCUUUCAUAGUGUUCUAAAAUGCCUUAAAAUCCCUCCAGUCCACAGAACAAAGUGUUUCAUACCUUCUCUUCUGGAAACCUUUCGGCUAAUAUUUGAGCAAUAAGGAAAACACAGCAGCUGUUAGCGUAAUUUCCCCCUUGAGGCAGAUUGUCCUCAGGUAGAACAAAACCCAAUUAACGUACCGCCAAGGUCAGUUAAAUUAGACAACGCAGACCGUCCUAACGCAGAGCUUUCCUCCAGCGGCUGCCACCAGCGCCGUGUGCCAGCCCGGCAGAAGCACCAGAGCAGCGGGGCCUGUCUGUGUGAGCUGCUGUGGGUAUCGGGGACAGGCGGCUGCCGUCUGCCUUCUGCUUGCUGCUCCUGCCGUUGCAAACCAGAUGUCGAAGGAAGAUUUAAAAGUCAACUUUAUUCGAAAUUCGAAAAUAUAAAACAACUUGACCACAAGGAGUCCUUUUUAUGUGGCGGGGAGGGGACACAUGAAGGGGAGAAAGGCUCUUUAAUCCCCUGCUUAUAGUCCCUUUCUAUUUUAGUUUUAACUUUUAUUUUUUAAAGCUGUGGUUAUUUUUUCUUUAAUUAAGCAGCCAGAGACAUUUCUCCCUCUCUCUGCCCCUUCAGCCCCCAGAAGGGCUUCUCUGAGAACCAGACCUCACCCCAGCCUUUUCCCUCGCAGCCGGGAUGGCUGCCAUACGUACAUUCCUCUCCCUUUUGGUGCCUGAAGACUGCUCAGAAGCUCCAGAUGCAGCUGUGUGCUCGCUCAGCACUGAUUUGUUGGGACACUGCAUCGCACCUCAUUCCCCAGCCCCCACCCGGCCUGGGUCACUAUGGAUGCCACUGCAUUUUUCAGCCAGAAAUGCGAGUUCUGUACACCGUGGGAAUAACCCUUUGGCCAAUCCAAUCUCACCUAAGGAUGAUUGUUUUACGUAAGCAGCCAAUACGUUUGAUCAAGCCCGAUCCACUUUGAUCAGACCACAGAGAACACAGUGUGUGGCAGGAGACCUGGCUGGUUCUCCUGAGAGCAACCCGUUCCUUGCUUAGGAAACCUUGAACAUAAAGCUCCCUGCCAUGUGGUGGUUAGACGAGCCGAGAGCUGCACCAUCGGCAGUGUGAUGGUGCCAAUGGAAUUCAAUGUCAGCGGAUAAGAAUCCUGCAGAUUCAGGAUUUGUAUGUGCAUGUGCACAGAAUUGUUAAAUAUUUUUAUAAAUUACCUGAAUUUCUUAAUUAUGAAAAUUUUAGAAGGAAUACAAGCUGAAGAUAAGAGUAUAACACCACAUGACAAGCCCGAAAACCUGGCAGCUCACAGAUCCAGUGCAAGGACAGUCAACAGAGCAAACUUCAGUGGGGCUGGGGUGAAAAUAAUCUGGAAUGAAACUCUAAGUGGGAGUCAAGCAACUGGAAGCCAGCACAGGAGAAGGGGCAGGGAAGACAGUACGCUUAUUGAGGCAAAACCAGGCACAAAUCCCAGAACAGGUUUGCAGCAUCUUUGUUAAUGACCCACAGGCACUUGCUGUGGUGAGACACCAAUGGGACAACGAGCCCGUCAGGCCCAGUCCCACCUCAACCUGACAUCCACGGAGCCAGACAGGGUGGGUGCCGUGGGUACCGCGAGCCCAGGGGGCUCAGAGCCCUCACUGUUAGAGAAAGAGCUGUAGAAGGACAGAGGGUGGUAAGGGAUGAGGCUGGAGCAGUUCUUUGGGCUGUGCUGUUACUGGCAAUGUCUGGUGUUCCGGAUAACACACCCAGUGCACCUGAUGGUGUCCAACGGGCACGACCUCGGCUGUUCCCAAAAGGAAGAGGCACCACCAGGCUCCUCAGCCCGCAGGGCCGCAGGCACGUGGGGCGCUCCCAGCACAGGCUCCCUGUGCAACGUGACCGCAGCGAGACGAGCACCGAAGGGAAGGAACACCGCUCUGCAAAUCAGAAGGGCUAUUUACGCUCUGCUUGCAGAGCAGCGAAACACGGCGCAUUUGUAAGCGGAGAUGCGGUAAUUCAGUGAGAAAUGCAGUUGGGAAGUCCCAGUCACAAAGGUCGACCAAACACUAGGAAGAAUCGCGCAGUCAGUCAGGGAGGGAUCCAGCUGUGCUGAGCACGGCUCAUCGGUCCCAAUUAGAGCGGUUUGUACUAACAAAGGGUGAUCUCUAGCCCGCAGAGCCUGUAAUCUAAUUUAAAAUUCAGUGCAACAAUGAAAAUGAGGGAAAAUAGGAGAGUAAUGUAAAACAUGAUUAAGAGUUUGCUAAGCAAAUGUAAUCAGAGCACUCACAGAGACAAGUGGCUGAGUGUUUGGAGCAGGUGGGGCGAGUUGUCUUUCUGCACGAGGGCUCGCAUCCUCACCACCACCGCUGCAAAGCCCCUGCCCGAGGGGUGCCGGAUCUCCCGUGCCCGUUUCUGUGCCCCCAUUUCUGCAGGCAGGGGAUGCUCUCGGUGGGCCCUGUGGCACAGCCGCGGCUGGGGCCGGGCUCCAGGCACAGCGCAGGGCACGGAGCGAGGCUCCAGCCCGUGCAUCGGCCACGGCACGCCGCUUUGCAAAGUCCCCGCGGGACCGUCACAGCUCAGUCUGCGUGACACCCAGAAGAGACGUACUGACAACUCGAGGCGGCUCGGAGGAAGCGUGGCAAAGCAAUUCCUCCCCCAGCGCACAGCAGCGCUUCCCAAGGGCGGCCGUCAGCAACCGGCUGAACGCCGCCGCACCGCGCACGAACGCACACUCGCG
Long non-coding RNA from Gallus gallus (chicken), 4779 nucleotides. Lineage: Eukaryota; Metazoa; Chordata; Aves; Galliformes; Phasianidae. The record is from Ensembl.